UCUGACCUCGGAUCAGGUAGGAAUACCCGCUGAACUUAAGCAUAUCA
RNAcentral lists this ribosomal RNA (47 nucleotides) under Phaeocytostroma megalosporum. Its description in RNAcentral is "partial 28S ribosomal RNA". Lineage: Eukaryota; Fungi; Ascomycota; Sordariomycetes; Diaporthales; Diaporthaceae. The record is from RNAcentral.